Molecule: unclassified non-coding RNA, 358 nt
Filed under: Hevea brasiliensis (rubber tree)
Lineage: Eukaryota; Viridiplantae; Streptophyta; Magnoliopsida; Malpighiales; Euphorbiaceae
Source: RNAcentral
GGUGGAGGCAGCACCAGUGUUGGCUGGGGCACCACCAGAUGCGGUGGAGGAGCCGGAUGCCUUGGCAGUGCUUGAAGCACCAGACUUGGUAGAGCUGAGGGUGGCAGAGCUGAUGGUGGUGUUGGUGCCAGCCGAGGUUGAAAUGGAGGCAGAGGCGCUGGUGGUGAGGGUUGACGCGGCAGAGGCAGCAGAAGAAGCAGAUGAGAGUGCGCUGGAGAUGGCGGACGAAAGAGCGCUCGAGAUGGAAGCAGAGGCUGAAGCAGAAGCGGAGGCUGAGGCGGAGGCUGAUGGGGACGCGUUGGAGCCAGAGAUGGGGAACUGCUUGGAGUAGUUGUCCGAGCUGCCCUGCUUGAUCUGG